AUUUACAUAAUAUAAAAAUUAUAUUUGACUUCCAAUCGAAAGAUCUAGAAUAACUAGUGUAAAUA
Molecule: transfer RNA, 65 nt
Filed under: Archetypus frenchi
Lineage: Eukaryota; Metazoa; Arthropoda; Insecta; Coleoptera; Cerambycidae
Description: tRNA-Gly
Source: RNAcentral